Molecule: ribosomal RNA, 389 nt
Filed under: Stevenia sp. n. 3 AT-2015
Lineage: Eukaryota; Metazoa; Arthropoda; Insecta; Diptera; Rhinophoridae
Also listed under: 1 other name
Description: partial small subunit ribosomal RNA
Source: RNAcentral
CUGGGAUUAGAUACCCUGUUAUUAAAAGUGUAAUUAUGAAUACUUAGGUAUUAAUAGUUAUGAUCUUUAAACUUAAAAAAUUUGGCGGUAUUUUAGUCUAUUCAGAGGAACCUGUUUUAUAAUCGAUACUCCACGAUGGACCUUACUUAAGUUUGUAAUCAGUUUAUAUACCGUUGUUAUUAGAAUAUUUUAUAAGAAUGAUAAUUUUCAUAAUUUUUGAUAAAAAAUAUAUCAAAUCAAGGUGUAGCUAAUAUUUAAGUAAAAAUGGGUUACAAUAAAUUUAUUUAAAUGAAUAUAAAUUUGAAAUGUUUAUUGAAGGUGGAUUUGAUAGUAAAUUUAUAUAGAUUAAUAAUUUGAUUUUAGCUCUAAAAUAUGUACAAAUCGCCCGU